GACGAACGCUGGCGGCGUGCCUAAUACAUGCAAGUCGAGCGGACUUAAAAAGCCUGCUUUUUAAGUUAGCGGCGGACGGGUGAGUAACACGUGGGCAACCUGCCUGUAAGACUGGGAUAACUUCGGGAAACCGGAGCUAAUACCGGAUAAUCCUUUUCUACUCAUGUAGAAAAGCUGAAAGACGGUUUACGCUGUCACUUACAGAUGGGCCCGCGGCGCAUUAGCUAGUUGGUGAGGUAACGGCUCACCAAGGCGACGAUGCGUAGCCGACCUGAGAGGGUGAUCGGCCACACUGGGACUGAGACACGGCCCAGACUCCUACGGGAGGCAGCAGUAGGGAAUCUUCCGCAAUGGACGAAAGUCUGACGGAGCAACGCCGCGUGAGUGAUGAAGGUUUUCGGAUCGUAAAACUCUGUUGUUAGGGAAGAACAAGUACGAGAGUAACUGCUCGUACCUUGACGGUACCUAACCAGAAAGCCACGGCUAACUACGUG
RNAcentral lists this ribosomal RNA (494 nucleotides) under uncultured bacterium. Its description in RNAcentral is "partial 16S ribosomal RNA". It matches the Rfam family "Bacterial small subunit ribosomal RNA", at positions 28 to 507 of the family's 1533-position model. The record is from RNAcentral.